UACGGAGGGAGCUAGCGUUGUUCGGAAUUACUGGGCGUAAAGCGCGCGUAGGCGGCUUUGUAAGUUAGAGGUGAAAGCCCGGGGCUCAACUCCGGAACUGCCUUUAAGACUGCAUCGCUUGAAUCCGGGAGAGGUGAGUGGAAUUCCGAGUGUAGAGGUGAAAUUCGUAGAUAUUCGGAAGAACACCAGUGGCGAAGGCGGCUCACUGGACCGGUAUUGACGCUGAGGCACGAAAGCGUGGGGAUCAAACAGG
RNAcentral lists this ribosomal RNA (253 nucleotides) under uncultured bacterium. Its description in RNAcentral is "partial 16S ribosomal RNA". It matches the Rfam family "Bacterial small subunit ribosomal RNA", at positions 524 to 776 of the family's 1533-position model. The record is from RNAcentral.